CAACCCUCAAGCUCAGCUUGGUGUUGGGACUCGCGGUAACCCGCGUUCCCCAAAUCGAUUGGCGGUCACGUCGAGCUUCCAUAGCGUAGUAAUCAUACACCUCGUUACUGGUAAUCGUCGCGGCUACGCCGUAAAACAACCCCAUUUCUAA
This 151-nucleotide unclassified non-coding RNA is filed under the name uncultured Amphisphaeriaceae. RNAcentral's name for it is "sequence contains ITS2". Lineage: Eukaryota; Fungi; Ascomycota; Sordariomycetes; Amphisphaeriales; Amphisphaeriaceae. The record is from RNAcentral.